RNAcentral lists this ribosomal RNA (252 nucleotides) under uncultured bacterium. RNAcentral's name for it is "partial 16S ribosomal RNA". It matches the Rfam family "Bacterial small subunit ribosomal RNA", at positions 524 to 776 of the family's 1533-position model. The record is from RNAcentral.
UACGAAGGGGGCUAGCGUUGUUCGGAAUUACUGGGCGUAAAGGGCGCGUAGGCGGUACUUCAAGUCAGGCGUGAAAGCCCCGGGCUCAACCUGGAACGCACGCUGAGACUGAAGAACUAGAGUUCGGGAGAGGAUGGUGGAAUUCCCAGUGUAGAGGUGAAAUUCGUAGAUAUUGGGAAGAACACCGAUGGCGAAGGCAGCCAUCUGGACCGACACUGACGCUGAGGCGCGAAAGCGUGGGGAGCAAACAGG